Molecule: ribosomal RNA, 317 nt
Filed under: uncultured eukaryote
Lineage: Eukaryota
Description: partial large subunit ribosomal RNA
Rfam family: Eukaryotic large subunit ribosomal RNA
Source: RNAcentral
AUAUCAUUAAGCGGAGGAAAAGAAACUAACAAGGAUGCCCUUAGUAACGGCGAGUGAAGUGGGCAAAGCUCAAACUGAAAAUCGGUUCCCCACGCGGGGUUUCGGAAUUGUAGUCUAUAGACGCGCUAUCAGCACUGGCCCGGGUAUAAAUCUUUUGAAACAAGGUGUCAUAGAGGGUGAGAACCCCGUCCAUGACUCGGUGUCCGGUGCGUACGAUGCGUGUUCAAAGAGUCGGGUUGCUUGGGAUUGCAGCCCUAAGUGGGUGGUAAAUUCCAUCCAAAGCUAAAUAUGUGUUGGAGACCGAUAGCGCACAAGUA